RNAcentral lists this long non-coding RNA (595 nucleotides) under Gossypium barbadense (sea-island cotton). RNAcentral describes it as "long non-coding RNA (GBAR_LNC010689)". The record is from RNAcentral. Lineage: Eukaryota; Viridiplantae; Streptophyta; Magnoliopsida; Malvales; Malvaceae.
GGAGUUGAGAGUUAGUAGGAUUUUAGUUCAAAUUAAAUACUUUUAAUUUUAAUUUAAUUUAUUUUUUCAUUUUCUUGAAAUUUCCCCUUAUUCUAACUUUUUUUCUUUCUUCCCUUUUUUGUGCUCUAUUGAUUUUCUUUCUUUUUCUCCUUUGAUUCUGUCAUAAUUCUUUAAUUAUAUUGCUCUGCUUUGAAUUCGCCGUGUAGAACCUAUAUUUUGCCCGGGCUUAUAGGAAAUAAAAUUAAACAAUCCAUUUAAAGUCCUUUUACAGAACCCAAAUAACAAACCCACUAACCACAGCCCAAAAAUUAAAACCCAAAAUUAAACCUAAAAAUUCUACCCGAAUACCCAUUACACCCAUACCUAAAUUCACAACCCGAAUCAGCCCAAAAUACCCUUUUGAUCCAACAAACAAACACAGCCCAGCAGGCCCAACUAACUUAAGGAGUUUCAGCUUCUGAGAAACCCUAGCUAGGGUUCGCGCCGUAAGCUUCCAGCCGACAUCAACCUCAUGUUGCGCCGCAAUCAAAGGCCUGAAUCAGCAUGCCCUCACCUCCGUCGCAAUCAUCGUGUAUAAACCUGCAAAAGGAAGGAA